Molecule: ribosomal RNA, 253 nt
Filed under: uncultured bacterium
Lineage: Bacteria
Description: partial 16S ribosomal RNA
Rfam family: Bacterial small subunit ribosomal RNA
Source: RNAcentral
UACGGGGGGAGCAAGCGUUGUUCGGAUUUACUGGGCGUAAAGGGCGCGUAGGCGGCCACCGCAAGUCGACUGUGAAAUCUCCGGGCUUAACCCGGAAAGGUCAGCCGAUACUGCGGGGCUAGAGUGCAGAAGGGGCAACUGGAAUUCUCGGUGUAGCGGUGAAAUGCGUAGAUAUCGAGAGGAACACCAGUGGCGAAAGCGGCUCCUGGUCCAGCACCGACGUUCAGGCACGAAAGCGUGGGGAGCAAACAGG